RNAcentral lists this ribosomal RNA (473 nucleotides) under uncultured bacterium. RNAcentral's name for it is "bacterial SSU rRNA". It matches the Rfam family "Bacterial small subunit ribosomal RNA", at positions 355 to 825 of the family's 1533-position model. The record is from RNAcentral.
UCGAGAAUCAUUCGCAAUGGGCGAAAGCCUGACGGUGCGACGCCGCGUGGAGGAUGAAGGCCCUAGGGUCGUAAACUCCUGUCAUCAGGGAGUAAUGGCUCAUAUAGUAACUGAUAUGGGUCUUGAUAGUACCUGAAGAGGAAGGGACGGCAAACUUCGUGCCAGCAGCCGCGGUAAUACGAAGGUCCCAAGCGUUGUUCGGAUUUACUGGGCGUAAAGAGUCUGUAGGCGGUGGGGUAAGUCAGAUGUGAAAUCCCGGGGCUCAACCCCGGAACUGCAUCCGAUACUGCCUUACUUGAGGGUCGGAGGGGAGUCUGGAAUUCUCGGUGUAGCAGUGAAAUGCGUAGAUAUCGAGAGGAACACUAGUGGCGAAGGCGAGACUCUGGACGACAACUGACGCUGAGAGACGAAGGCCAGGGGAGCGAAAAGGAUUAGAUACCCGUGUAGUCCCUGAGCGGGCUGGCAAGGCGCAU